ACUGGGACAACCACUGGAAACGGUGGCUAAUACCGGAUGAGCCGAAAAGUAAAAGGGAAACCUGCCUUUUGAAGAGCUCGCGUCUGAUUAGCUAGUUGGUGAGGUAAGAGCUCACCAAGGCAGCGAUCAGUAGCUGGUCUGAGAGGAUGACCAGCCACACUGGGACUGAGACACGGCCCAGACUCCUACGGGAGGCAGCAGUGGGGAAUUUUCCGCAAUGGGCGAAAGCCUGACGGAGCAAGACCGCGUGAGGGAAGAAGGCUCUUGGGUCGUAAACCUCUUUUAUCAGGGAAGAAAAAAAUGACGGUACCUGAAGAAUCAGCCUCGGCUAACUCCGUGCCAGCAGCCGCGGUAAUACGGAGGAGGCAAGCGUUAUCCGGAAUUAUUGGGCGUAAAGCGUCCGCAGGUGGCUUAUCAAGUCUGCUGUCAAAGAGUGGGGCUUAACCCCAUAAAGGCAGUGGAAACUGGCAAGCUAGAGUGCCGUAGGGGUAGAGGGAAUUCCCGGUGUAGCGGUGAAAUGCGUAGAGAUCGGGAAGAACAUCGGUGGCGAAAGCGCUCUACUGGACGGCAACUGACACUCAGGGACGAA
Molecule: ribosomal RNA, 589 nt
Filed under: uncultured Schizothrix sp.
Lineage: Bacteria; Bacillati; Cyanobacteriota; Cyanophyceae; Leptolyngbyales; Schizotrichaceae
Description: bacterial SSU rRNA
Rfam family: Bacterial small subunit ribosomal RNA
Source: RNAcentral